RNAcentral lists this ribosomal RNA (387 nucleotides) under uncultured bacterium. Its description in RNAcentral is "bacterial SSU rRNA". It matches the Rfam family "Bacterial small subunit ribosomal RNA", at positions 28 to 416 of the family's 1533-position model. The record is from RNAcentral.
GACGAACGCUGGCGGCGUGCUUAACACAUGCAAGUCGAGCGGUAAGGCCCUUUCGGGGGUACGACGAGCGGCGAACGGGUGAGUAACACGUGGGUGACCUGCCCUCAGCUCUGGGAUAAGCCCGGGAAACUGGGUCUAAUACCGGAUAUGACUCCAUGACGCAUGUUGUGGGGUGGAAAGCCUUGUGCGGUUGAGGAUGGGCCCGCGGCCUAUCAGCUUGUUGGUGGGGUGAUGGCCACCAAGGCGACGACGGGUAGCCGGCCUGAGAGGGCGACCGGCCACACUGGGACUGAGACACGGCCCAGACUCCUACGGGAGGCAGCAGUGGGGAAUCUUGCGCAAUGGGCGAAAGCCUGACGCAGCGACGCCGCGUGAGGGAUGACGGCC